CCGAGGGUGCCUGCGACGCUCAAUGAAAGCCAGCCUCACUCGCCCCAGCAGCAAAACCCCUGCGAGGAGCAGCAGCGGGUUCCCACUCGAAGCGCUGUAGAAUAGAUAGCGAAGCGUGUGAGGAAAAAAGUGCGUUGAAAUUCUGCCGCUGAGUCUCAGCAAAGGGCUGGAAGGUCACAGCAGGUGGCAGCCGGUGCGUGCAUCCCCCGUUGGCGAGGUUGGGUCCCCUCGCAAGUGAACAACUGCCGCGGUGGGCUGUCCUGCUCUGCCUGUGCUGCUCGGCUGGGCUGAAGAAGCCCGCAGCUGGAAUCCUAAAGGCAAGCCCUGCCGAUGUUCUUCACCAUGCAUUAACAGGAAGGCUCGUGACAGCCUCUGGGAGCAACGGCAGUGCAGGGAAGUCGGGCGAAGCACAGAGCGCAAGGUGUGUCUCAGAACCUUGGCACAAAGGAUCCGUUAAGGGACAGUUAAGGGAGUUCCCUCCCUCCAGGCAGACAUCUGCUGCCCUCCGGCCUUGCCUCCACGUUGCCCUCAUAUCCCGGUGUUUUCUAUACAUCCUCACAAAGUGUGUUUGCCAAAUAGAGGAGGAUAAAAUUGGCAGGUGGAAACAUUUUGUUUUCCGUCUGCUCUGGGAUUGCAAAUAUUGUGUCACAACACGCUGACUGCAAGUGGCAGUUGCUUGGUUUUUUAUUGGCACUGGUUGCGAGAUGUUAGCAUUGAUCUUAAAGGUUGUAUAAACUUUGCAAUUUAGGUGGAGUUGCCACUUCUGUUAUUAAUUCCUGGUGGAUCGGUUGAAUGCAAAAUAUUUGCUUUGAGAUUACCUUUGCUAUGUAGCCUGUCAACUGAGAGGAAGAUUUGUUCAAGAAGUAACAAAAAAACCUUCCCUGUGAGUUGUUGGCAUCUUUUGAUUUACAGACGUGCACCUGAAAUGCUAUUUUUAUAGAGCUGUGUGGCACUGUAGGGAUCUGGGUGCUCCGGAGGAGCCAGAGCUCUGUGCCCAGAGAUCUGGGGAAGGGCUGUUCUGCCCAGGUCCUGCCCUGCUGCACCUGCUAGGGCAGAGCAUUGGGUUCACCCCAGCCUGGUGCUGCUGCUGCUCUGCAGGCUGGGAAGCUUCCCUUCAUGUCAGAGGGAUGUUGUUCCACCUCCCACCCCGUGCUUUCUGGCCACGAUUGAAUUACUUUCAUUUUUGGUGCAGGAUGCACGAUAAGAAAAUAAAACAACGAUCCUGCCGCAGUGAGAUGAAGUGCAGAGCGUAGCCUGCUGUGACAAAGGUUUCCCACCAGCCCAGCCCAGUUUUUGUCUAUCUGGAGAAAGGAUGAACUCCCUGGUGCUCUCAGCUCAGCCUCCUGCUAAUGAGCACCCUGCAUUUUACCUGGGAAAUAUGAAAAAUUACAAAGGAAGGUCAGAGAUUAGGUAAAAGAGUUGAGCUAAGGCAGCGUGAAACCACAGGCAGCAGUGAAAGAUUUAUUUUGCUGGAUUUAUAUCAGCUCUUUAGGCCAGAUUCCAGGUCUUGCAGCUACAAUUCACGGUGGAAAACACUGCAGCUGGGCUCUUCAUCCGAGCCGGCAUGGGAGCUUUAUCACCCUUGUCCAGUUGGAUGCUGCUCCUUAUUUGCCAGCCCAGCCAAUGGUGAUUAAAUGGCAUUUCUCAGCGUGCAGGUUGGAGCAUUAUUAGCUCUUAUCUCUAAUUGCCAUCGUUUUGAAAGUGUUUUGAACAGAUGGCUGUAAGAGAAUAAGAGUGAAAAGAGAUCUUUUUAUACCUUUGACUAGCAAAAAGUGCUUGCUGGGAUGCUAGCUCAAACUUGUGGGGUUAAAUGUGGGGAAAAUGGACCAAGUACGACCCUGGCUUCUGCAGGGGAGGCAUCGAGGGAUAGCAGGGACACCCAGACUACCCAGGACUGUUCCUCACUCACUGCCUGUUUGCUGCUAGGGGUGCUGUGAUUCACCUUGCACUGCUGAGCACAUCCCUUUGCCACACGUCUACCUGCACCGCAGGGAAGGAUUCAGCCCACUCCAGUCACCUGCAGUGUGGUCAGGCUUUGUGUUCACCUACUGUUCCAGGUGCACCUGUAUUAAAUCAUUGCCAUUCAAGCAAUCAAGCUCAUUACUAGAUUAUGUGUUAUAGGAUCUGGGUGCAUAAGCCCUUAGCACAAAAAAAAUUCUCUUAUUUUGCUAACUACCUAAACAUAAAACUGCAAAGAAAGAAAUUGUUCCCGUGACUCAUAUUUUUCAUCAUUUGGUCAUUAAAUAGUGAUGGAUAUGAACCUAUAAAGUACCUAAACCGAACCUUUUAACAAUCCAUGAGCAAUACUAUCAUUUCUUUAAUAGAACUUGCUGGCCGUGCCUUUCUCAGAUGCCAUUUGUCAUUUUCAGCAUGCAAUAAUCAAUAACUUGGCUUUGAAAUAAAUAAUAUAACAGUCACAAUAUAUUAUCAUUCAGGCUGGCCUUAUACUAACCGUAAGACAAGACUUGGAGAGAUGAAAACUUUAGGUAAAUGCCAAAAAUGAAAUAACCGGAGCUAAAUGAACAAGAAGCUUUGCCUAGUUUUGCUUCCAAAUUAAUUUGGACUUUCCUCGUAUUUAGGAAACAGCAUCUUCUGGAUCAUCUGACUUCAGGCUGGUGACAACUGCCAUCCCCUGGAUCCCUUUGCCACAGAGCUGAUACAGCAUCGCUCUCCCAGCUCCAGCAAGAUUGCAAUAACCUCUGGCCAACCUUGGCUGCUGAUUUUGAACUUCUAACCAAAAGUAAGCCUGCAGUUUCAUUUCUGAGCUGGGAACAACUUGAUUGCAGGAAGUGGAAGAAAACAGGGGCAGAAUCGAAUGCUACAAUUAGGGUGAUGAUCUGUGAGAGGAUGGGCUGGAAGGAAUCUUUAAGACCCCCGAAGACAGUUGGAGUCUGUAGAGCAUUUAUCACAGGUGACACCAGCACGUGAAUCUAAAAGUAGUGCCUCUGAUGCUGCGUGUAUAUGACUGAUAUUAAAAAUGACUGAUAUAACAGAAAGCGUUUCACCUCUGUUGCCAGCCAGGAAGGUAGGUCUCCAGUAUUCUCAGACUUAAAUGCUGCCAGUAUUUCACGUUAGGAUAGUCAUAAAGUUAAAGGUUAAUAGGCUGUACAAAUGACAGAGUUUAAGGGAAAAAAUGAAGAUGGGAAGAUUUCUAGCACUUAGGGAACAUUUUAAAAAUGAAGCUCCUCUGUCUAAUGUAAUUUUUCCUAUAUUCUUUCUCACACUGUUGAUCAUUAUUGAAAAUAUUUCUAUUUGCAUAAGUGAUUUCUCCUUCACUGCCCACCUCCGUUUGCUUUUUGGAUGAUCACUACUUCCCACAGUACAUGAUGAGUCAUAAUCCUGCUGCCUGCCAUAACAGUCUGCUGCCACAAGAAUGUAAUGGGGCUAAAUUAAAGCCAUAGCCUUGGAGGGAGGAUGGAAGGGAGAGAUGGGAAUGAGAAAGGCUUUUAUUUAAUUGCGAGCCAUUAGAACUUGCAGGUUGAGGAGAGGGGCAAACACAUGCAUUGCUGGAAAUGGAAUUUGGAUGUGUUGUUGAGAUUAGCUCAACGGGUGUUGUGAGUGACAAAAAAACUUAUUUCUGUGUGAGCUUUGCUGCCAUGAAUGGCAGGGAUUCCUUUCCGUGAUGCCAGCACUAGAAAUGAGACUCUAAUGGCGAGAUUAACGUGACUAAGACAAAUAUUGUUACAAGGAGACUUCCAGUUAUCAUGUUUGCUUCUGUACUGAUGAAGAGAAAUUCUCCCUUGAUUCCUAUGGAGGCCUUGUAGAGCAACUGGGAAAGGCCAUUGUUUGAGCAUUGUCUCUUGUGGCACUCUGGGAAUGAAACUGCAGCAAAGCACGGCUCUUCAAAACGUGCGUUCUCCAAAUGUUCUUCUCUCAGUCUGAUCAGUGCCUGCUGAUUCUCAGGAAAAAAUAGUGUGAAUGGUGCUGCUGAGAUCGAGAUCGAUCUUUUCAAUUGUUUCCCAGGUACAUGUAGUACACACAUUAUAGUGCUAAGCUCUGACAAGCAAUUGGCAAUGAGUGAAGGCACCUUCAAGUCAACAUUUGUUCUUACUGCUUUCUUCAUGUAUGAAAGGGAGUCACCCAGGUAGUGCUGAAUUCUGGGUGUGCACAGAAUCUCCCACUCCUUGCGAGGCAAGUAAGAGGCACUGCUAGGCUUUGACAUUUGGUGGCCCCAAGCAGUACUACAGCUUUUCUUCCUCUGUGUUCUUCAGCUAGCUUUUAGUUUUCUCCAACAUGUCCUUAAAAACCUUCUGGACCUGAGAUAUACAGAAGAAGUUAGAUAUUCUUGAUUUACUGGGUUCUGAGCAACGAAGAGUUAUGAAAUAAGUAUGGCUGCUGGGCAAAAACCUCUACUGCUCUGGAGCUGAAAUGAAAUAGAGAAAGUACCUUCGUGCUCCCUCUGGUAAUGAAUUCUAUGCCUAUUCUUCAGGACCAGACCUUUCAUCUGCACAGAAGCCUGAGGUUGUAGGAGAUGCUCCAUACACAGCUGUUAGGAAGACCAGAAUGUCAGGCUUCACAUUCCCUGUGCAUGGGUCAAGGUAAAACUCUCUAUGGCAAAUGUUUUAAGGAUUACAGAGGCUCUCGGUGUCCUCUAGCAGUACCUUGGUACUGCAGUGGAGCUUUCUCAUGCUCUGUAGCACAACACAUAUUUACACAGCUCUGUGAAAUUUCUAGGACUGUUGAAUGGUGACAUGCCAAUUUCUUCCUCCUUCACUGCAGUAUCUAUUUUCUAGUCUUCAGUUUCUGCUGUGCUAUAUGUCUUCUUAGCACUAUCGUAUUAAUUUAAUAGAACACAAGAUCAUGAAAGCUCAUGUUUACAAUAUGUGUAAGUACUGUAUUUAUUUUGCAUGCGACAUUGGAAAGAAUGUGAUAAAAAUAUUUUAAGAAAUGAAAGCAAAG
Long non-coding RNA from Centrocercus urophasianus (Greater sage-grouse), 4899 nucleotides. RefSeq lists it as uncharacterized. Lineage: Eukaryota; Metazoa; Chordata; Aves; Galliformes; Phasianidae. The record is from RefSeq and is a predicted model, not a curated record. The transcript is spliced from 3 exons.